UGACGGCAAUGAACUCCGGAGGCAGAAUAAAAAACAUGGAUAUCAACGUUCGGCGGUUAACUCCCUCCAAAACAAACGUGACCUUGAAUUUAGUACGGCGUUCUUUUAUUGGUCAGUUAAAUUUUACCACCUCCGACUGUGAUUUUAGUCGAAAAACAAUGGUCACGGACUCUGCAUCGAUUGUUUUUUUUCGCACGUUUUUCCUCGUAAUACAUUCGCGUCGAGAUUUUUACGAAUAGUUCGCUUUAGGAGAAUCGUGUGCCGAGUACUUGGCUCGCGUGAUCGAAAAUCAAAAGUUUUUUAUAGCUAGCGAUCGUGGGAAUCGAUGAAUAGUGAGAAUCUCUCUCAGGGUAAAUUCUCGAGUUGCGAAUUCGCCGAGGGCGGCGCUGCUGUGCGCAGAUUCAGCUUUCCGUGAAAAAAAGGUGUUCGUAAACAAUUCACUUGUGCUGUGGAAUUCGAUUUUUACUGGCAAAGAAAUUCGAACUAUUCGUCUGAAUCGUAGGAGGCGAAAAAUGAGUUGAGGUUUGGACAUUUUUUUUUACAAAGAACGAAGGAGAAUCAUUUCCGUCAGAGUUUUGAGGAAAAACAGCUUGCAAUCGCUCCCUCAAAAACCUCUUUAUUUUUGUCUCUCUUUUUUCCAUCGCCCGGCCAUUCUAUAUGUUUCUUACAAAAAUGUCCGAGGCGAAUGCGAAAUUCUGGCGUUCGGCGUCGUGCAUACGCGAGGCUCGAGAUGACGAAAAAAAGCGUAAAUGGAAGAGGAACGCGAUGCAGAAAAGGCGAGCAGAGUCGAUGAGCGCCUGAGACGAGAGAAAGAAAAAUUUGGCCAUGACCUUCGGGUUUGCCGCAAACUCUGACCUCGCCCCAUCCGCGAGAGGGCAACCAGCUAUAAUUGCAUCCCACGCGCGCGGAUCUCUCGUACAUAACAUCGAUCUGUUACAGACCCUGAAAAAAAUCUUAUCCGGUACACGAAAUAAUAUGAAUUACAAGAGAAUAAAAAACACUUGAAAAACUUCAUGAUCGCAGUUAUUAUGCUAACGAUACUCGAGUGUAAAGCGACCCCGAUAUAGUGAAAAAGCCCAAACGAAUUUUUGACGAGAACAAAAGUUGAGUGAAACACAAAGCAAAUAUCACAAUCCGUCUCUACCUCGGAACUGAUUAUCUCUAGCGAAAAAUCGCUGCAAGCAUACUCUACGAUGGUCGAACGAAGAGUGCAUGUCAACAGAUUCAUUUCUUCAGUCUCAAUUACAAUUCGUGCUAGAACGACGUUGACGUGUCUCCGUUGUCGUGUCCAUUUCGUUGGGAAACCUCCGACGAGCUCAUUAUUCUCUGAUGGAAUUUAAUUAUGCAGCCAGAUACAUAUCUUAAAAGUAAUGUGGAACGGAGAUGCAGCAGUACAAGAGAGAUAACUCAUUCCCACCCUAAAUCUCCGAUCUAAUUUUCUUCGAAGAUGCUUCGAUCUUUCUCACUAGUGUGAUCACCCUUUUCUCCACUCUGCAUUAUUUCACCAAUUAUAACUUUCUUGCGAGUUUCGACGUUGAAUUAAUUUUAACGAUCUUAUUUAUGCUCGUUCACGUACUUUCGAUGGACGAAGUAUACUGACAAUAUUCAUUCAUACGAAAUCGCGAGUGUGGGUUCGAAAAAAGGCAACGAAAAAAUCUAGUCAUCAUUGUUCUUGAAGCUCGUCGACGGUCUUUUAUUCGGUAAGUGUUUCUUUCUACGCACGUAAUGCGGACGUGGAAAAAUGUCAAUUUCGAGUACAAGUCACGUUGGAUCGAACGAAUGAGUUCCGUGAGUAUUUAGAAAAAAAAUAUUUUCUAUUCGUAGGCCCAACGUUGACGGCAUUCACUCCGAGCCCACCCGUCAAUCAAAUUUCUAAAUUUCAAUAGUUUACACAGAUUUUAAGCUUGCGGAAUUCGUAACGAUGGGAAAGUUCUUUCUAAUGCGUAUUUUUCUUCAAUAAUUUGCUAUUGUUUCCACAAAGAUCUGAAUGUGCGUCUCUAAGUACCUCGGUUGAAAAUAGAACGUCUUUUCACAGCCAGAAACGUACGAUGUAAUUUCCAUUUUUGAGUUUCUCACGAAACUCCUUUAACGGCGUCGAUUUUUUUCUUCUUUUUGUGUCUCUUCGCUCGCAUCUCGCAACCUGCACAUGACGACAUCUGUUGGAGGUUUUUACAACUAUUCCGAACGACAGAGGCGCCACGUUCGAACGGAGGCAUUGCGCGAUCUCUCCGUUCAACGUGGGCGUAGGGCACCAAAAAUCUACGAUUUUUCUCAGUACCGAGUUCUUUCGGUUUCGUCUCCAUCAGCAUCUAAAUUUGCAGAAACGAAAUUAUCAACAGGGACAAUCAUUGAAAAAUUAAUUAUCGAAUGAUCUUGAUGACUAUUAAAAAUUUUAUUUUUAGCAA
This 2405-nucleotide long non-coding RNA is filed under the name Venturia canescens. RNAcentral describes it as "uncharacterized LOC122413889, transcript variant X1". Lineage: Eukaryota; Metazoa; Arthropoda; Insecta; Hymenoptera; Ichneumonidae. The record is from RNAcentral.